RNAcentral lists this ribosomal RNA (774 nucleotides) under uncultured Neocallimastigales. RNAcentral describes it as "partial large subunit ribosomal RNA". It matches the Rfam family "Eukaryotic large subunit ribosomal RNA", at positions 20 to 635 of the family's 3401-position model. The record is from RNAcentral. Lineage: Eukaryota; Fungi; Neocallimastigomycota; Neocallimastigomycetes; Neocallimastigales.
UACUAGAGUAGCACUCGCAUAUCAAUAAGCGGAGGAAAAGAAACUAACAAGGAUUCCCCUAGUAACGGCGAGUGAAGCGGGAAGAGCUCAAAUUUGAAAUCUUAAAGGGUUUCCCUUUACGAAUUGUAGUUUAAAGAAGUGUUUUCUGUUGAGGUUUUGGUAAAAGUUCUUUGGAAUAGGACAUCAUAGAGGGUGAGAAUCCCGUAUUUGACCUUUACUUUCAACUUUGUGAUACACUUUCAAAGAGUCGGAUUGUUUGGGAAUGCAGUCCAAAAUGGGUGGUAAAUUUCAUCUAAAGCUAAAUAUUGGCGAGAGACCGAUAGCGAACAAGUACCGUGAGGGAAAGAUGAAAAGAACUUUGAAAAGAGAGUUAAACAGUACGUGAAAUUGUCAAAAGGGAAGCGUUUGACACCAGUGUUGUUUUUCUGAAAAUCAAUUAAAGAACUGUUUAUGCUAAGCUGUUUAGACUUUAUCAGCUAUCUGUUUAGUUUUGAGCUUUUCUUUAAUGCACUUUUCAGUUAACAAGUCAACAUCAAUUUCUUUUGCUGUAAAAAAGCUUGAGGAAGGUGGCUUGAGAUUCGUCUUAAGUGUUUAUAGCCUCUUGCCUAUGCAGUCGGAGAGAUUGAGGUCUGCAGCGUAGAUCCUUCGGGGCUAAAUGCAUUUGUGCUAAGUUAUAGCAUUUUAUAGACAACUUGUUGACUAUGAUUUGUCUUGUAGCUUACUCGCUUAUGUUAUUUUACCUACGCUUAGGAUGUUGAUCUACAGAGCGAGAGU